UACGAAGGGGGCUAGCGUUGCUCGGAAUCACUGGGCGUAAAGCGCACGUAGGCGGCUUUUUAAGUCAGAGGUGAAAUCCUGGAGCUCAACUCCAGAACUGCCUUUGAUACUGUAGAGCUUGAGUCCGGGAGAGGUGAGUGGAACUGCGAGUGUAGAGGUGAAAUUCGUGGAUAUUCGCAAGAACACCAGUGGCGAAGGCGGCUCACUGGCCCGGUACUGACGCUGAGGUGCGAAAGCGUGGGGAGCAAACAGG
RNAcentral lists this ribosomal RNA (253 nucleotides) under uncultured bacterium. Its description in RNAcentral is "partial 16S ribosomal RNA". It matches the Rfam family "Bacterial small subunit ribosomal RNA", at positions 524 to 776 of the family's 1533-position model. The record is from RNAcentral.